This 496-nucleotide ribosomal RNA is filed under the name uncultured bacterium. Its description in RNAcentral is "bacterial SSU rRNA". It matches the Rfam family "Bacterial small subunit ribosomal RNA", at positions 29 to 518 of the family's 1533-position model. The record is from RNAcentral.
AUGAACGCUAGCGACAGGCCUAACACAUGCAAGUCGAGGGGCAGCACAAGGAGCAAUCUGAGGUGGCGACCGGCGCACGGGUGAGUAACACGUAUGCAACCUGCCUGUAAGCGGGGAAUAACCCGUUGAAAGACGGACUAAUACCGCAUAAUACUAAAUUACUGCAUGGUAAUUUAUUUAAACAUUUAUGGCUUACAGAUGGGCAUGCGCAUGAUUAGCUAGUUGGAGAGGUAACGGCUCCCCAAGGCAACGAUCAUUAGGGGUUCUGAGAGGAAGGUCCCCCACACUGGUACUGAGACACGGACCAGACUCCUGCGGGAGGCAGCAGUGAGGAAUAUUGGUCAAUGGACGAGAGUCUGAACCAGCCAAGUCGCGUGCAGGAAGAAUGUUCCCUAUGGAUUGUAAACUGCUUUUGCAGGGGAAUAAAGUGCAUCACGUGUGAUGUUUUGUAUGUACUCUGCGAAUAAGGAUCGGCUAACUCCGUGCCAGCCGCCGC